Molecule: unclassified non-coding RNA, 407 nt
Filed under: fungal sp.
Lineage: Eukaryota; Fungi
Description: partial internal transcribed spacer region
Rfam family: Eukaryotic small subunit ribosomal RNA (bases 1-46)
Source: RNAcentral
AAGUCGUAACAAGGUUUCCGUAGGUGAACCUGCGGAAGGAUCAUUAAUGCAAAUUGGAGAAACGGUGUGUCGCCUGUUGUGCCACGAGAACACAGCAUGCCUGCUAAGCUUCCUGAACAAGGACGCGUUGGUGUCUUGCGUUUUCAAUAAACACAAAGUUGGUGUCACAUUCGUAAGCUUUAAUCCCUGAUAACGCUCGACUUUUGUUUUAUUUAACAAAAGCUUCGACGUCACAAGUAACUUGAGACUUUUUCUUUUCUGUUGAAGAAAAGGAAAAUGUUCUCUAAUUUUUUACACCAUAAUUACCCUAUUCCUAUAAACUAUUAGACUGAUAUAAAAACAUUUACUUUGAUAAAUGUUAAAAACAAAUUAUUGAACAACUCUUAGCAAUGGAUAUCUAGGCUCUC